This 1408-nucleotide ribosomal RNA is filed under the name metagenome. Its description in RNAcentral is "bacterial LSU rRNA". It matches the Rfam family "Bacterial large subunit ribosomal RNA", at positions 1497 to 2925 of the family's 2925-position model. The record is from RNAcentral.
UUUGGUUAUGUACGGCUAAGCAUUGAGACAGUCUAAAUAGGCAAAUCCGUUUGGACAAUGCUAGGAUGUGAUGGGGAAACCCUCCGGGGCGAAGUAGCUGAUUUCACACUGUCAAGAAAAGCUUCUAUCGAGUUUAAAGGCGCCCGUACCGUAAACCGACACAGGUGGGUGAGGAGAGUAUCCUAAGGCCAGCGAGAGAACUAUUGUUAAGGAACUCGGCAAAAUGACCCCGUAACUUAGGGAGAAGGGGUGCCUGUCUAUGACAGGCCGCAGAGAAUAGGCCCAAGCGACUGUUUACCAAAAACACAGGUUUCUGCUAAGUCGCAAGACGAUGUAUAGGAGCUGACGCCUGCCCGGUGCUGGAAGGUUAAGGGGAUCUGUUAGAGCAAUCGAAGCAGUGAACUUAAGCCCCAGUAAACGGCGGCCGUAACAUUAACGGUCCUAAGGUAGCGAAAUUCCUUGUCGGGUAAGUUCCGACCCGCACGAAAGGCGUAACGAUUUGGGCACUGUCUCAACAAUAGACUCGGUGAAAUUGUAAUCCCGGUGAAGAUGCCGGGUACCUGCGACAGGACGGAAAGACCCCAUGGAGCUUUACUGUAGCUUGACGUUGGGUCUUGGUACUACAUGUACAGGAUAGGUGGGAGACUAUGAAGCAUGGACGCCAGUCUGUGUGGAGUCAUCCUUGGGAUACCACCCUUGUAGUACUGGGAUCCUAACCACAGGCCUUGAAUCAGGUCUUGGAACACCGUCAGGUGGGCAGUUUGACUGGGGCGGUCGCCUCCUAAAAAGUAACGGAGGCGCUCAAAGGUUUCCUCAGCACGGUCGGAAAUCGUGCGAAGAGUGUAAAGGCAAAAGGAAGCUUGAUUGCAAGACAUACAGGUCGAGCAAGGACGAAAGUCGGACUUAGUGAUCCGGUGGUACCGCAUGGAAGGGCCAUCGCUCAACGGAUAAAAGCUACCCUGGGGAUAACAGGCUUAUCUCCCCCAAGAGUCCACAUCGACGGGGAGGUUUGGCACCUCGAUGUCGGCUCAUCACAUCCUGGGGCUGUAGUAGGUCCCAAGGGUUGGGCUGUUCGCCCAUUAAAGUGGUACGCGAGCUGGGUUCAGAACGUCGUGAGACAGUUCGGUCCCUAUCCGUCGCAGGCGUAGGAAAUUUGAGAAGACCUGUCCUUAGUACGAGAGGACCGGGAUGGACGUACCUCUGGUGUACCAGUUGUUCUGCCAAGGGCAUGGCUGGGUAGCUAUGUACGGAAUGGAUAAGCGCUGAAAGCAUCUAAGCGCGAAGCCAACUUCAAGAUAAGAUUUCCCACCGUAAGGGUAAGACCCCAGGAAGACUACCUGGUUGAUAGGUCGAAGGUGUAAGUGCAGUAAUGUAUUUAGCUUAUCGAUACUAAUAGGUCGAGGACUUG